RNAcentral lists this transfer RNA (77 nucleotides) under Enterobacter hormaechei. RNAcentral describes it as "tRNA-Met". It matches the Rfam family "tRNA". Rfam says of the family: Transfer RNA (tRNA) molecules are approximately 80 nucleotides in length. Their secondary structure includes four short double-helical elements and three loops (D, anti-codon, and T loops). The record is from RNAcentral. RNAcentral also lists the same sequence under 1 other name. Lineage: Bacteria; Pseudomonadati; Pseudomonadota; Gammaproteobacteria; Enterobacterales; Enterobacteriaceae.
AGAGGGGUGGAGCAGCCUGGUAGCUCGUCGGGCUCAUAACCCGAAGGUCGUCGGUUCAAAUCCGGCCCCCGCAACCA